UGUACACGCUGUGACUAGCAUAUCAAUAAGCGGAGGAAAAGUCAAUACCUACGCUUAGGAUGUUGACACACGCGCGUGCUCGACUCUAUACAUGACUCAGUGCAUAUCAAUAAGCGGAGGAAAAGAGGGCCAUUACCUACGCUUAGGAUGUUGACACACGCGCGUGCUCGACUCUAUACAUGACUCUGUGCAUAUCAAUAAGCGGAGGAAAAGGCGGCGGAGAGUAUUGGUGUGGGCGUACCUACGCUUAGGAUGUUGACACACGCGCGUGCUCGACUCUAUACAUGACUCUGCGCAUAUCAAUAAGCGGAGGAAAAGGCUGCGGAACUGAACGAUCGCUACCUACGCUUAGGAUGUUGACACACGCGCGUGCUCGGCUCUAUACAUGACUCUGCGCAUAUCAAUAAGCGGAGGAAAAGCUAUACCUACGCUUAGGAUGUUGACGAGACUGUCGAUCUCAUCUAUACAUGACUCUGCGCAUAUCAAUAAGCGGAGGAAAAGAGGGCUAUUACCUACGCUUAGGAUGUUGACGAGACUGUCGAUCUCAUCUAUACAUGACUCUGCGCAUAUCAAUAAGCGGAGGAAAAGCAUAACAUGUAUACCUACGCUUAGGAUGUUGACACACGCGCGUGCUCGACUCUAUACAUGACUCUGCGCAUAUCAAUAAGCGGAGGAAAAAUGUACCUACGCUUAGGAUGUUGAUCUACAGAGCGAGAGU
This 718-nucleotide ribosomal RNA is filed under the name uncultured Neocallimastigales. Its description in RNAcentral is "partial large subunit ribosomal RNA". Lineage: Eukaryota; Fungi; Neocallimastigomycota; Neocallimastigomycetes; Neocallimastigales. The record is from RNAcentral.